This 31-nucleotide non-coding RNA is filed under the name Mus musculus (house mouse). RNAcentral also lists the same sequence under 1 other name. The record is from RNAcentral. Lineage: Eukaryota; Metazoa; Chordata; Mammalia; Rodentia; Muridae.
UCCAAAAUGUCAGCUGAGACACCUCUCCAGG